This 499-nucleotide unclassified non-coding RNA is filed under the name Aplysia californica (California sea hare). RNAcentral describes it as "uncharacterized LOC118478282, transcript variant X2". The record is from RNAcentral. Lineage: Eukaryota; Metazoa; Mollusca; Gastropoda; Aplysiida; Aplysiidae.
GUGUGUCACGUGACUCACCAGUGUUCUUUCUCGUUACUCGGUCUGCCUUGGGCGCAUUUCUCGUGCAAUCAAAAUUUGGAAAAGGCCGCUCAGCUCUCAGCAAACUAUCAAAUCUUACGCAACACUCUAGGCCUAAGUCGUAUCGACAUCACACUUCAGUCAGCAAAUCAAGAGUCGAGGUGGGAGAACGCUAACCGAGAGGGUGUCACCCUAAUCCGGGUGAGCAGCCGCAGCAGUAGCCGCAAGGCCAAGGUCGUGGUGGAGUCGGAGGGCACCCUGGACGUCUCGGCUGCUGGUCCGGACACUGUGGCUGUCGUGGAAACAGCCGCGGAUGUAAACGUAGAGGUGCUUUUGCCUUUCUCCCCUCUACCUCUUUCUACUGUACCAAAGAAAUAUGCAUGUACCAAUAUUAUAUCUCGGUGUUGGGUAUACCUGCUUAAACUAUGCCACUAUCAGGGGACUUAAAUUAUAUUUUUCCUCUUCCAAAUAGACUGUAUAG